UGUUAAAUGAUUGAUCCCGCCUAGGCCCC
RNAcentral lists this non-coding RNA (29 nucleotides) under Rattus norvegicus (Norway rat). The record is from RNAcentral. Lineage: Eukaryota; Metazoa; Chordata; Mammalia; Rodentia; Muridae.